GAUGAACGCUGGCGGCGUGCCUAAUACAUGCAAGUCGAGCGAACAGACGAGGAGCUUGCUCCUCUGACGUUAGCGGCGGACGGGUGAGUAACACGUGGAUAACCUACCUAUAAGACUGGGAUAACUUCGGGAAACCGGAGCUAAUACCGGAUAACAUGUUGAACCGCAUGGUUCAACAGUGAAAGACGGUCUUGCUGUCACUUAUAGAUGGAUCCGCGCCGCAUUAGCUAGUUGGUAAGGUAACGGCUUACCAAGGCAACGAUGCGUAGCCGACCUGAGAGGGUGAUCGGCCACACUGGAACUGAGACACGGUCCAGACUCCUACGGGAGGCAGCAGUAGGGAAUCUUCCGCAAUGGGCGAAAGCCUGACGGAGCAACGCCGCGUGAGUGAAGAAGGUCUUCGGAUCGUAAAACUCUGUUAUUAGGGAAGAACAAAUGUGUAAGUAACUACGCACGUCUUGACGGUACCUAAUCAGAAAGCCACGGCUAACUACGUG
This 497-nucleotide ribosomal RNA is filed under the name uncultured bacterium. RNAcentral's name for it is "partial 16S ribosomal RNA". It matches the Rfam family "Bacterial small subunit ribosomal RNA", at positions 28 to 507 of the family's 1533-position model. The record is from RNAcentral.